Molecule: transfer RNA, 114 nt
Filed under: Maritalea mobilis
Lineage: Bacteria; Pseudomonadati; Pseudomonadota; Alphaproteobacteria; Hyphomicrobiales; Devosiaceae
Description: tRNA-OTHER
Source: RNAcentral
GGGCGACGUGGUGGACCUCGACCGCAACGCCGCCCUGGGUGAAGGCGUAGCUGUCCGUGAAGGUCACAUCGGCUUGGGCGGGUUCGGUGCCAUUCAGCCCCGCCUCGCCCACCA